RNAcentral lists this ribosomal RNA (275 nucleotides) under uncultured bacterium. RNAcentral's name for it is "partial 16S ribosomal RNA". It matches the Rfam family "Bacterial small subunit ribosomal RNA", at positions 338 to 630 of the family's 1533-position model. The record is from RNAcentral.
CCUACGGGUGGCUGCAGUGGGGAAUCUUGGACAAUGGGGGGAACCCUGAUCCAGCCAUGCCGCGUGAGCGAUGAAGGCCUUCGGGUUGUAAAGCUCUUUCGUGGGGGAUGAUAAUGACCGUACCCCAAGAAGAAGCCCCGGCUAACUCCGUGCCAGCAGCCGCGGUAAUACGGAGGGGGCUAGCGUUGUUCGGAAUUACUGGGCGUAAAGCGCACGUAGGCGGACGCGGCAGUCAGGGGUGAAAUCCCGGGGCUCAACCCCGGCACUGCCCUUGA